AAGUCGUAACAAGGUCGCUUCUGACCUAACGACGAGCCGAGCUUUUUGUUGAGAGACUGGACUUGCUGACUUCUUUUCAAACGAGUAACGGUUAAAAAUUGAGAGUUGUGUCGCUAACAGCCCUCUGACUGUAUUGGACCUGGAACGACUGUACCAACACUCACGAACGCCUGUAGGGGUGUUGUUUUGGUGAGGUGACAUGAUUCCCAAAAGUCGUGGCGAUGACGUUCGAACCGGCUUUGUGUCCUUUGUUUUGAUCUUCGGUGGCGCUGCUUCGGCUCGCUCAACCACCUGUGAGGAUCAGAAUAAAGGCAAAGCUGGGGAGGUGGCCCUUUUUAAUUGAAUCUUAAACCGAACUAACUUGACAAAACUUGAACAACUGUUACAAUGGAUAUCUUGGUUGUC
This 405-nucleotide unclassified non-coding RNA is filed under the name fungal sp. Its description in RNAcentral is "partial internal transcribed spacer region". The record is from RNAcentral. Lineage: Eukaryota; Fungi.